Molecule: unclassified non-coding RNA, 343 nt
Filed under: soil metagenome
Description: partial contains 5.8S ribosomal RNA, internal transcribed spacer 2, and large subunit ribosomal RNA
Rfam family: 5.8S ribosomal RNA (bases 1-120)
Source: RNAcentral
GAUGAAGAACGUAGCGAAAUGCGAUAAGUAAUGUGAAUUGCAGAAUUCAGUGAAUCAUCGAAUCUUUGAACGCACAUUGCGCCUGCUAGUAUUCUGGCGGGCAUGCCUGUCCGAGCGUCAUUUCAACCCUCAAGCCCCCGGGCUUGGUGUUGGGGAUCGGCGAGCCUCCGCGCCCGCCGUCCCCUAAAUCUAGUGGCGGUCUCGCUGUAGCUUCCUCUGCGUAGUAGCACACCUCGCACUGGGAAACAGCGCGGCCACGCCGUUAAACCCCCAACUUCUGAACGUUUGACCUCGGAUCAGGUAGGAAUACCCGCUGAACUUAAGCAUAUCAAUAAGCGGAGGA